RNAcentral lists this long non-coding RNA (212 nucleotides) under Nicotiana benthamiana. RNAcentral's name for it is "long non-coding RNA (NBEN_LNC024893)". The record is from RNAcentral. Lineage: Eukaryota; Viridiplantae; Streptophyta; Magnoliopsida; Solanales; Solanaceae.
UUUUUUUUCCUUUUAAUGGUGGUAUUACUACCAUGUUGUGCUCAUUCCAUUGGGGGAAGGAAGACUAAGAAAGAUAUGCCAUUUUGGUCUAUAAAUAUGCUCUUUAUCAUAUCCUUGAAUAUCUUUUUUCUCAUUAUUUCUUUGUCUUUACUUUGAUAUCAAUCCUUGAAUAUUUAUAUAACAUACAAUAUAUAACAUACAACACAAUAUAC